Otolemur garnettii (small-eared galago) is the source of this 107-nucleotide small nuclear RNA. The record is from Ensembl. NCBI's taxonomy places the organism in Eukaryota, Metazoa, Chordata, Mammalia, Primates, Galagidae.
GUGCUCUCUUCGACAGCACAUAUACUAAAACUGGAAUGAUACAGAGAAGAUUAGCAUGGCCCUUGUGCAAGGAUGACAUGCAAAUUCAUGAAGGGUUCUAUAUUAAG